RNAcentral lists this ribosomal RNA (1634 nucleotides) under Thalassobacter stenotrophicus. RNAcentral describes it as "bacterial LSU rRNA". It matches the Rfam family "Bacterial large subunit ribosomal RNA", at positions 1202 to 2925 of the family's 2925-position model. The record is from RNAcentral. Lineage: Bacteria; Pseudomonadati; Pseudomonadota; Alphaproteobacteria; Rhodobacterales; Roseobacteraceae.
AUGGUAGCGGAGCGUAGUGUGACAUAGUUCUACGCCUCCUUAGCAUCCUCCGGGAUGUAUUGGAGGCAGAGAACUUUCGAUGAAGCCGGGGCGUGAGCCAUCCGGUGGAGAGAUCACUAGUGAGAAUGAUGACAUGAGUAGCGACAAACAGGGUGAGAGACCCUGUCGCCGAAAGUCCAAGGGUUCCUGCUUAAAGCUAAUCUGAGCAGGGUAAGCCGACCCCUAAGGCGAGGCCGAAAGGCGUAGUCGAUGGGAACCAGGUUAAUAUUCCUGGGCCAGUUAGAAGUGACGGAUCUCGAAGGUAGUUCAUCCUUAUUGGAUUGAAUGGGCUGCUAAGAGGUUCCUGGAAAUAGCUCUAACAUAAGAUCGUACCCUAAACCGACACAGGUGGACUGGUAGAGAAUACCAAGGCGCUUGAGAGAACGAUGUUGAAGGAACUCGGCAAAAUACCUCCGUAAGUUCGCGAGAAGGAGGCCCGGUUUCUAGGCAACUGGAAGCUGGGGGCACAAACCAGGGGGUGGCGACUGUUUACUAAAAACACAGGGCUCUGCGAAGUCGCAAGACGACGUAUAGGGUCUGACGCCUGCCCGGUGCCUGAAGGUUAAAAGGAGGGGUGAGAGCUCCGAAUUGAAGCCCAGGUAAACGGCGGCCGUAACUAUAACGGUCCUAAGGUAGCGAAAUUCCUUGUCGGGUAAGUUCCGACCUGCACGAAUGGCGUAACGACUUCCCCGCUGUCUCCAACAUCGACUCAGCGAAAUUGAAUUGCCUGUCAAGAUGCAGGCUUCCCGCGGUUAGACGGAAAGACCCCGUGCACCUUUACUACAGCUUCACACUGGCAUCAGGCACAACAUGUGCAGGAUAGGUGGUAGACUUUGAAGCAGGAACGCUAGUUCCUGUGGAGUCAUCCUUGAGAUACCACCCUUGUUCUGCUUGAUGUCUAACCGCGGUCCGUUAUCCGGAUCCGGGACCCUGUGUGGCGGGUAGUUUGACUGGGGCGGUCGCCUCCUAAAUCGUAACGGAGGCGCGCGAAGGUUGGCUCAGAGCGGUCGGACAUCGCUCGUUGAGUGCAAUGGCAGAAGCCAGCCUGACUGCAAGACUGACAAGUCGAGCAGAGUCGAAAGACGGCCAUAGUGAUCCGGUGGUCCCAAGUGGGAGGGCCAUCGCUCAACGGAUAAAAGGUACGCCGGGGAUAACAGGCUGAUGGUGCCCAAGAGUCCAUAUCGACGGCACCGUUUGGCACCUCGAUGUCGGCUCAUCUCAUCCUGGGGCUGGAGCAGGUCCCAAGGGUACGGCUGUUCGCCGUUUAAAGAGGUACGUGAGCUGGGUUUAGAACGUCGUGAGACAGUUCGGUCCCUAUCUGCCGUGGGUGUAGGAUACUUGAGAGGAGUUGCCCCUAGUACGAGAGGACCGGGGUGAACGUUCCACUGGUGGACCAGUUGUCAUGCCAAUGGCAGUGCUGGGUAGCUAUGAACGGACAGGAUAACCGCUGAAGGCAUCUAAGCGGGAAGCCCCCCUCAAAACAAGGUAUCCCUGAGAACCGAGGUAGACCACCUCGUCGAUAGGCCAGAGAUGUAAGCGCAGCAAUGCGUUCAGUUGACUGGUACUAAUUGUUCGAUAGGCUUGAUUUGAUCCAG